UGGCUCAGAAUGAACGUUGGCGGCGUGGAUUAGGCAUGCAAGUCGAGCGCUCAUAGCAAUAUGGGAGCGGCGAACGGCGUAGUAAUAUGUAGGAACGUACCCUCGGGUCGGGGAUAGCCAUGGGAAACUGUGGGUAAUACCCGAUAAUCUCUGCGGAGCAAAGGUGUGAUUCCGCCUGAGGAGCGGCCUACACGAUAUUAGCUAGUUGGUAGGGUAAUGGCCUACCAAGGCUACGAUGUCUAGGGGGUGUGAGAGCAUGGCCCCCACGACCGGAACUGAGAUACUGUCCGGACACCUACGGGUGGCUGCAGUCGAGAAUCUUCCGCAAUGGACGAAAGUCUGACGGAGCGACGCCGCGUGCGGGAUGAAGGCCCUUGGGUUGUAAACCGCUGUCAGUGGGGUGGAAAUUGUUUGGGGGUUCUCCCCAUUCAUUGACCUAACCGCAGAGGAAGUCCGGGCUAAGUACGUG
Molecule: ribosomal RNA, 469 nt
Filed under: uncultured bacterium
Lineage: Bacteria
Description: bacterial SSU rRNA
Rfam family: Bacterial small subunit ribosomal RNA
Source: RNAcentral